CAAUAGCGUAUAUUAAAGUUGUUGCAGUUAAAAAGCUCGUAGUUGGAUUUGUGGCGUACGACGGGCUCCGGGCACUUGUUGUCUGAGUAGCUUGUCGUUGCCAUCCUUGGGUGGAACCUGUGUGGCAUUAGGUUGUCGUGCAGGGGAUGCCCAUCUUUUACUGUGAAAAAAUUAGAGUGUUCAAAGCAGGCUUAUGCCGUUGAAUAUAUUAGCAUGGAAUAAUAAGAUAGGACUUUGUCGCUAUUUUGUUGGUUUGUGCGAUAAGGUAAUGAUUAAUAGGGACAGUUGGGGGUAUUCGUAUUCCAUUGUCAGAGGUGAAAUUCUUGGAUUUUUGGAAGACGAACUACUGCGAAAGCAUUUACCAAGGAUGUUUUCAUUAA
RNAcentral lists this ribosomal RNA (380 nucleotides) under uncultured eukaryote. RNAcentral describes it as "partial 18S ribosomal RNA". It matches the Rfam family "Eukaryotic small subunit ribosomal RNA", at positions 592 to 976 of the family's 1831-position model. The record is from RNAcentral.